This 740-nucleotide ribosomal RNA is filed under the name uncultured archaeon. RNAcentral describes it as "bacterial SSU rRNA". It matches the Rfam family "Archaeal small subunit ribosomal RNA", at positions 1 to 750 of the family's 1478-position model. The record is from RNAcentral.
UUCCGGUUGAUCCCGCCGGACCCGACUGCUAUCAGAGUGGGACUAAGCCAUGCGAGUCAACAUAGCAAUAUGUGGCAUACGGCUCAGUAACACGUAGUCAACAUGCCCAGGGGACGUGGAUAACCUCGGGAAACUGAGGAUAAACCGCGAUAAGUCACUACUUCUGGAAUGGGUAAUGACUCAAAUCUAUAUGGCCCCUGGAUUGGACUGCGGCCGAUCAGGCUGUUGGUGAGGUAAUGGCCCACCAAACCUGUAACCGGUACGGGCUCUGAGAGGAGGAGCCCGGAGAUGGGCACUGAGACAAGGGCCCAGGCCCUAUGGGGCGCAGCAGGCGCGAAACCUCUGCAAUAGGCGAAAGCCUGACAGGGUUACUCUGAGUGAUUUCCGUUAAGGAGAUCUUUUGGCACCUCUAAAAAUGGUGCAGAAUAAGGGGUGGGCAAGUCUGGUGUCAGCCGCCGCGGUAAUACCAGCACCCCGAGUGGUCGGGACGUUUAUUGGGCCUAAAGCAUCCGUAGCCGGUUCUACAAGUCUUCCGUUAAAUCCACCUGCUUAACAGAUGGGCUGCGGAAGAUACUAUAGAGCUAGGAGGCGGGAGAGGCAAGCGGUACUCGAUGGGUAGGGGUAAAAUCCGUUGAUCCAUUGAAGACCACCCGUGGCGAAGGCGGCUUGCCAGAACGCGCUCGACGGUGAGGGAUGAAAGCUGGGGGAGCAAACCGGAUUAGAUACCCGGGUAGUCCCAG